Helianthus annuus (common sunflower) is the source of this 2743-nucleotide long non-coding RNA. RefSeq lists it as uncharacterized. The transcript has 2 exons. The record is from RefSeq and is a predicted model, not a curated record. Lineage: Eukaryota; Viridiplantae; Streptophyta; Magnoliopsida; Asterales; Asteraceae.
GUUAUUAGACACUUGUCACUCUAUAAAUCCUUCUUACACUUCUUACAAUUAGAAGACUUUGUAGAAUAACUUGACCCAUCAUUUCACAACCUCAGGUCCCAAACCCUUAUCCCUUUCUAUUCUCUCACAUGGCUCACUCCCUCUUUAGAAAACGCCGACCACCACCCUUGGUGGUGGAGCCUUGGCGGAAGGGCGGCGUGAUGGUGGUCCCGGCUAGUGGGUGUGGUACGUCAGGGGCAAUGGGGUGCGGCUGGGGCGGAGCGGGGGGUUUUAGGGGUGAUGGUGACGGGGAGGAGGGGGUGUGCGAUGGAUUGGGAUUUGGCUCGGGCAGUCGUGUGCGGGUGUGUAGUGGUGGUAUGCGACAGUGGUUAAGUGAUGUUUGAGGGUGAGUUGAAGUCUGACAGGUGGUUCGAGUGGAGUUCGAGCCCUAGUUUGUUUUUCGGGUCACAAUUUUUUCGAGCCCUACUUUGUUUUCGGUUCACAAUUUUUAACAUAAUUGCAGAGGUUAGAGAAACAGUUGCUUUAGAUGCUCAAAAGGCAAUCAAGAAGAAGAAAAAGAUUAGAACGAGACAAAAGAAAUUGAAAACAUACAAUAUGCCUUCACUGUAGGUGAUCUGCUGUUAAGUACCGGAGUGGCGGGUCGCUGGCUCGCCGGAGAUGAGAGAGAGAGUAAGCUCAUAGAGAGGUAUUUAUUUUUGUUUUCAUAACUUUUUAAAUGUUAUAUUCUUUUAUUUAUUUAAAUACUAUAAACAAUUAAGUAAAAAGACUAAACUGCCCUUGUAUGAAUAGAUUUAAUUAAAAAUUUUAAUUUGGUUAGUGAUAAAGGAUGUAGUGUGUAAUGGUUUUUACAAAGGGGAAAUGGACUGUAUCACCCCCAACUAAACAAAAUUGGCCGUUGCCACGCCCAACUUUCACUUUGGCUCCCACCACCCCCAAUUGGAAACUUGGGUUGCUGUGUCACCCCGUCGUUAACCAGACACUAACGAGGUUAGUUUUUUUUGCUGAUCUGGCCAAUUUUUGCUGACAUGGCAUGGGUAUGUGUAAAAAAAUUAGUUUUAAAAAUCAAGAAAACAAUAUUACUUACACACACAAUACACACAUCUACACAUCUGUUCCAAACCCCUUUUUCCCUUUCUCUCUCUAACGCUACCACCACCAUCACCUCCACCAACCACCACCAUUAUCACCUGCCACCACCGCCACAAAACACCACCUACCAUCAUCACUCUGUCGUCUCUUCACCACGCACAACCCUCCAUUUCAAGAUAGCGUUGCAAAUAAAUCCGCUUCUAAAACUGAGUUGUUUUUUGCCAUCAUCAUCUGAAACAGAGAGAUGGAGUACCGGCUACGGAGAUUCUGAAAUAGAAUUGAAAGGAGGCAACGAUGGCUGGGUCCAAAUAUUCGGUGAGAUUGUGCUUCAAUCUUGGCUAGUGACGGUGAUGUUCUCUCUCCCAUCUCUCUCUUUAGGGUUCGUCGUUCAGAUCUGAAAGGAGGCGGCGAGGUUGUUGCAGCGGCUCGAGGUUGGAGGUUGGAGGUUGUUGCAGCGGCUCGAGGUGGGAGUGCUCGCCGGAGGUUGUUGCAGAGCAAAAUCAAUUGGAGAUUUGAAUUGAUUGAAAUCUGAGUAUUUUGUUCAUAACUCAUCACACUUAUCGAUUUGAAUUGAAUUACAAAUUAUUUGAGCAUCAUGUUUGAGUUCAGAUCUGAACUGAUUCUUGUUUGAUUGAGAGAACAGAUGACGAAAAAAAUCAGAUCUGAACUAGAGUUGUAGAAAAUCGAGUGUCGUUUGUUUUGAUAAUCUGUUUUGGUUUAGCAAUCAAAUAAAAAGAUUUUGAAGUGUUGAUUAUCAUAAACAGAACAUCCAUAUGUGUAUCAGUUGAAAAAGAAGUAAAUUUACAGGUUGUGAAUUGAUAAAGACAAAGCGAAGGAAUAUGUGUUUGUGUUGAAUUAGGUUUUUAUAUUAUGUUUACAGAGAUGUUAAAUGGCGAGUCCAUGUAGGCGUCCACGUAGGCUGUCCACCUCAUCAUCCCCAUGACACGUAGGAUUAAAAACCUAACUGAGUUAGUGAUUUUUUAACGAAGGGGUGACAGUCACACCAAGUUGUCGAGUAGAGGGUGGUGGGAGCCAACUUGAAAAUUGAGCGUGUUAUUGGCCAAUUUUGCAUAGUUUAGGGUGAUACAGUCCAUUUCCUCUUUUACAAAUAAAGGAUUGUAAAUUUAAUUAUUAAAGUUAAAAGUUAUCUUGAAAUUUCAUAAAAAAAAUAAAGUACAAAAAUUACCCGCAAAUUUACCUAUGGUUUUCCUUCUACCUAUGCAUGUGAAGAUACCACGUGCCUACGUAAACAAAUUUACCUAGCCUUGUAUCAUGGAAUUUCUAUAUCCCUUUUACUUUUUGUCCAAAGAUUAUUCCCUUUCAAUCCGUUUACCCUUUCAUGGGAGUUGAAACCUGUAAAUCUGCAAUUCUAAUAUAAAAUAAUUAAGUAUCAGCUAAUGUGGAGCUACCCCACUUGGUAGAGGCAUAUACUUCUUGGAAGACAGGUGUCAGGUUUAAUCUUGGACAAGAUGAAUUAUUUAGAUAGUGUAAUAGAGUAAAAGCAAGCGUUGACAUUCAAAAAAAUAGUACCAAUCUUAAUGGUUUUAUUUGUAAAUAUGUCAUAAAUGUAAGUAUAUCUUAAUUCAAAACAUGUAUAAUUUCGUGUACAUAUUGUGUUAUAACUUUUCAAAUGAAAGUUUGAUUUCUUUGACAA